Molecule: ribosomal RNA, 439 nt
Filed under: uncultured bacterium
Lineage: Bacteria
Description: partial 16S ribosomal RNA
Rfam family: Bacterial small subunit ribosomal RNA
Source: RNAcentral
CUACGGGAUGCUCCAGUGAGGAAUAUUGCACAAUGGGGGGAACCCUGAUGCAGCAACGCCGCGUGGAGGAUGACGCAUUUCGGUGUGUAAACUCCUUUUAUAUGUCAAGAAAAUGACGGUAGCAUAUGAAUAAGCACCGGCUAACUCCGUGCCAGCAGCCGCGGUAAUACGGAGGGUGCAAGCGUUACUCGGAAUCACUGGGCGUAAAGGACGCGUAGGCGGGUUGGAAAGUCAGGUGUGAAAUCCUACAGCUUAACUGUAGAACUGCACUUGAAACUUCUAAUCUAGAGUAUGGGAGGGGGAGAUGGAAUUAGUGGUGUAGGGGUAAAAUCCGUAGAUAUCACUAGGAAUACCUAAAGCGAAGGCGAUCUCCUGGAACAUUACUGACGCUGAGGCACGAAAGCGUGGGGAGCAAACAGGAUUAGAUACCCCCGUAGUC